This 441-nucleotide ribosomal RNA is filed under the name uncultured bacterium. Its description in RNAcentral is "bacterial SSU rRNA". It matches the Rfam family "Bacterial small subunit ribosomal RNA", at positions 65 to 501 of the family's 1533-position model. The record is from RNAcentral.
CAGCGAGCGAGAUAGCAAUAUCUUGUGUCGGCGACCGGCGCACUGGUGAGUAACACGUAUGCAACCUGCCCUCUACAGGGGGAUAAUCCGGAGAAAUUCGGUCUAAUAUCCCAUAGUCCCUGAGUUUGCAUGAGCUUAGGGGGAAAGUUCCGGCGGUAGAGGAUGGGCAUGCGGCGCAUUAGCUGGUUGGCGGGGUAACGGCCCACCAAGGCGACGAUGCGUAGGGGUUCUGAGAGGAAGGUCCCCCACACUGGUACUGAGACACGGACCAGACUCCUACGGGAGGCAGCAGUGAGGAAUAUUGGUCAAUGGGCGCGAGCCUGAACCAGCCAAGUCGCGUGAGGGACGACGGUCCUACGGAUUGUAAACCUCUUUAGGCGGGGAGUAAUGUGCUCUACGAGUAGAGUAGUGAGAGUACCCGCAGAAUAAGCAUCGGCUAAC